RNAcentral lists this ribosomal RNA (405 nucleotides) under uncultured bacterium. RNAcentral's name for it is "bacterial SSU rRNA". It matches the Rfam family "Bacterial small subunit ribosomal RNA", at positions 29 to 480 of the family's 1533-position model. The record is from RNAcentral.
AGCGAACGCUGGCGGCAGGCCUAAUACAUGCAAGUCGAGCGGGUCCUUCGGGAUUAGCGGCGGACGGGUGAGUAACGCGUGGAACGUGCCCUUUGGUACGGAACAACUGAGGGAAACUUCAGCUAAUACCGUAUGUGCCCCUUCGGGGGAAAGAUUUAUCGCCAUUGGAGCGGCCCGCGUUGGAUUAGGUAGUUGGUGAGGUAAAGGCUCACCAAGCCUACGAUCCAUAGCUGGUCUGAGAGGAUGACCAGCCACACUGGGACUGAGACACGGCCCAGACUCCUACGGAGGCAGCAGUAGGGAAUCUUGCGCAAUGGGCGAAAGCCUGACGCAGCCAUGCCGCGUGAAUGAUGAAGGUCUUAGGAUUGUAAAAUUACUUUCACCGGGACGAUAAUGACGGUACCC